Molecule: ribosomal RNA, 523 nt
Filed under: uncultured Sebacinales
Lineage: Eukaryota; Fungi; Basidiomycota; Agaricomycetes; Sebacinales
Description: eukaryotic LSU rRNA
Rfam family: Eukaryotic large subunit ribosomal RNA
Source: RNAcentral
CCCCUAGUAACGGCGAGUGAAGAGGGAAAAGCUCAAAUUUGAAAUCUGAUGUCUUUGACGUCCGAGUUGUAAUCUAGAGAAGUGUUUUCUGCCUUGGACCACACAUAAAUUCCCUGGAAUGGGGUGUCAUAGAGGGUGRARAAUCCCGUUUGUGGUGUGGACUACCUUGGCUCUGUAAUACACUCUCAACGAGUCGAGUUGUUUGGGAAUGCAGCUCAAAAUGGGUGGUAAAUUCCAUCUAAAGCUAAAUACUGGCGAGAGACCGAUAGCGAACAAGUACCGUGAGGGAAAGAUGAAAAGCACUUUGGAAAGAGAGUGAAACAGUACGUGAAAUUGUUGAAAGGGAAGCGUUUGAAGUCAGUCACAUUGGUCRGAAUUCAGCCUGGCUUCUGCCUGGUUCACUUUCUGGCAAAUGGGUCAGCAUCAAUUUUGAUUGAGGGAGAAAGACUUGAGGAAUGUGGCUGUCUUCGGVCAGUGUUAUAGCCUCUUGUUGUAUGUCUCAAUUGGGAUUGAGGAACGCAGC